Molecule: ribosomal RNA, 492 nt
Filed under: uncultured bacterium
Lineage: Bacteria
Description: partial 16S ribosomal RNA
Rfam family: Bacterial small subunit ribosomal RNA
Source: RNAcentral
AUUGAACGCUGGCGGUAGGCCUAACACAUGCCAGUCGAACGGCAGCACAGUAAGAGCUUGCUCUUACGGGUGGCGAGUGGCGGACGGGUGAGGAAUACAUCGGAGUCUACUUUUUCGUGGGGGAUAACGUAGGGACACUUACGCUAAUACCGCAUACGACCUACGGGUGAAAGCAGGGGAUCUUCGGACCUUGCGCGAGUGAAUGAGCCGAUGUCGGAUUAGCUAGUUGGCGGGGUAAAGGCCCACCAAGGCGACGAUCCGUAGCUGGUCUGAGAGGAUGAUCAGCCACACUGGAACUGAGACACGGUCCAGACUCCUACGGGAGGCAGCAGUGGGGAAUAUUGGACAAUGGGCGCAAGCCUGAUCCAGCCAUACCGCGUGGGUGAAGAAGGCCUUCGGGUUGUAAAGCCCUUUUGUUGGGAAAGAAAAGCAGCAGGUUAAUACCCCGCUGUUCUGACGGUACCAAAAGAAUAAGCACCGGCUAACUUCGUG